Molecule: ribosomal RNA, 241 nt
Filed under: uncultured Glomus
Lineage: Eukaryota; Fungi; Glomeromycota; Glomeromycetes; Glomerales; Glomeraceae
Description: partial 18S ribosomal RNA
Rfam family: Eukaryotic small subunit ribosomal RNA
Source: RNAcentral
GAUUGACACAUCGGUCGUGCCUUAAGGGGUAUGAACUGGUGUAGUCAAUUUCUCACCUUCUGGAGAACGGCGAUGCCCUUAAUUGGGUGUCGCGGGGAACCAGGACCUUUACUUUGAAAAAUUAGAGUGUUUAAAGCAGGCAUUUUGCUUGAAUACAUUAGCAUGGAAUAAUAAAAUAGGACGGCAUGAUUCUAUUUUGUGGUUUCUAGGAUCACCGUAAUGAUUAAUAGGGAUAGUUGGG